UGGGAUUACGGGACUGUGCCAUCCUGCUCC
RNAcentral lists this non-coding RNA (30 nucleotides) under Rattus norvegicus (Norway rat). Lineage: Eukaryota; Metazoa; Chordata; Mammalia; Rodentia; Muridae. The record is from RNAcentral.